RNAcentral lists this ribosomal RNA (921 nucleotides) under uncultured Bacteroidota bacterium. RNAcentral describes it as "bacterial SSU rRNA". It matches the Rfam family "Bacterial small subunit ribosomal RNA", at positions 1 to 913 of the family's 1533-position model. The record is from RNAcentral. Lineage: Bacteria; Pseudomonadati; Bacteroidota.
UGGAUCCAGACUUUGAUUAUGGUCAGGAUGAACGCUAGCUACAGGCUUAACACAUGCAAGUCGAGGGGAAACGAUAUUGGAAGCUUGCUUCCGAUAGGCGUCGACCGGCGCACGGGUGAGUAACGCGUAUCCAACCUGCCCACCACUUGGGGAUAACCUUGCGAAAGUAAGACUAAUACCCAAUGACGUCUCUAGAAGACAUCUGAAAGAGAUUAAAGAUUUAUCGGUGAUGGAUGGGGAUGCGUCUGAUUAGCUUGUUGGCGGGGUAACGGCCCACCAAGGCGACGAUCAGUAGGGGUUCUGAGAGGAAGGUCCCCCACAUUGGAACUGAGACACGGUCCAAACUCCUACGGGAGGCAGCAGUGAGGAAUAUUGGUCAAUGGACGAGAGUCUGAACCAGCCAAGUAGCGUGCAGGAAGACGGCCCUAUGGGUUGUAAACUGCUUUUAUAAGGGAAUAAAGUUAGUCUCGUGAGACUUUUUGCAUGUACCUUAUGAAUAAGGACCGGCUAAUUCCGUGCCAGCAGCCGCGGUAAUACGGAAGGUCCGGGCGUUAUCCGGAUUUAUUGGGUUUAAAGGGAGCGUAGGCCGGAGAUUAAGCGUGUUGUGAAAUGUAGAUGCUCAACAUCUGAACUGCAGCGCGAACUGGUUUCCUUGAGUACGCACAAAGUGGGCGGAAUUCGUGGUGUAGCGGUGAAAUGCUUAGAUAUCACGAAGAACUCCGAUUGCGAAGGCAGCUCACUGGAGCGCAACUGACGCUGAAGCUCGAAAGUGCGGGUAUCGAACAGGAUUAGAUACCCUGGUAGUCCGCACGGUAAACGAUGGAUGCCCGCUGUUGGUCUGAAUAGGUCAGCGGCCAAGCGAAAGCAUUAAGCAUCCCACCUGGGGAGUACGCCGGCAACGGUGCAACUCAAAUGAAUUGA